GCCUAACACAUGCUAGUCGAGCGGAGACAUUUGAAAAGCUUGCUUUUUGGAUGUUUCAGCGGCGGACGGGUGAGUAACGCGUGAGCAACCUGCCUUUAACAGGGGGAUAACGCAUCGAAAGAUGUGCUAAUACCGCAUAAGACCACAACGCUACAUGGCGAAGGGGUCAAAGGAGCAAUCCGGUUAAAGAUGGGCUCGCGUCCGAUUAGCUAGUUGGUGAGAUAACAGCCCACCAAGGCGACGAUCGGUAGCCGACCUGAGAGGGUGAUCGGCCACAUUGGAACUGAGAUACGGUCCAGACUCCUACGGGAGGCAGCAGUGGGGAAUAUUGGGCAAUGGGCGAAAGCCUGACCCAGCAACGCCGCGUGAGGGAAGAAGGGUUUCGGCUCGUAAACCUCUGUCCUAUGGGACGAAGGAAGUGACGGUACCAUAGGAGGAAGCCCCGGCUAACUACGUGCCAGCAGCCGCGGUAAUACGUAGGGGGCGAGCGUUGUCCGGAAUGAUUGGGCGUAAAGGGCGCGUACGCGGCCUGAUAAGUCUGGAGUGAA
This 548-nucleotide ribosomal RNA is filed under the name uncultured rumen bacterium. RNAcentral describes it as "bacterial SSU rRNA". It matches the Rfam family "Bacterial small subunit ribosomal RNA", at positions 46 to 598 of the family's 1533-position model. The record is from RNAcentral.